RNAcentral lists this unclassified non-coding RNA (220 nucleotides) under uncultured Tomentella. Its description in RNAcentral is "sequence contains ITS2". Lineage: Eukaryota; Fungi; Basidiomycota; Agaricomycetes; Thelephorales; Thelephoraceae. The record is from RNAcentral.
ACACCUCAACUCUUCAUGGUUUUCCAUGAUGAGCUUGGACUUUGGGGGUCUUGCUGGCCUGCGGUCGGCUCCUCUCAAAUGAAUCAGCUUGCCAGUGUUUGGUGGGCAUCACAGGUGUGAUAACUAUCUACGCUUGUGGUUUUCCACCAGGUAACCUUCAGCAGUGGAGGUUCGCUGGAGCUCACAGACGUCUCUCCUCAGCGAGGACAGCCCUUUGAAU